CUUUGUACUACUUUAUAUGUGGCCAUCUGGUGAAGGGCAAUCUCUUCCCUCUUGCCCAAAAUUAUCUACAGCUGAACCUUGGUUGCUUUGCUGCAACUUUUUUUUGCUCUGGCCUCUUUGAAAUAGGAGCCUUCCCCAGCAUGCCUUUUUUUUCAGGAGACGUUUUACAUUCUCGAUAAGCCUGGAUAAGGCUCUUUUGGAAGGUACAGGCUGUUGCUGUUUCUCUUGCAUCUAGAUGCAAACGUUGUUAUGGGCAGAGGAAAGUGUUUGGUGUCUCCUCUUACAGUAUUAAACACUGCUGUGUAACCUGUAAGUGAACCAUACAGGCAUAAACCAAGCAGGCAAAGGCUGGGUGCUGUUCUCCACCUGACUAAAAGCCAUGGCUUGCUGCUUUCCACAGAGGCUUGGUUGUCUGGCCAGAUGAAACCCCUGAGGAUUGUGUCCUGACUCCCACCUGUAAACUGAGAAGGAUGUUAUCUUAAGCAAGACAGCUCCAAAACAGCUCUUUCUGACAAGCCAUUCACAUUGUAGGACCAACAGUGGCUUUGUUUCUACUGAACAAGCAUAAUCUGGGCAACAGCCAAGGCUGCAAUACCCAAAGUAAAUGGAAACUCAGAAGAGGGCUUAAAGGCCUGUUUCUGCUUCCUUCUAUAUAAAGUGAGAAGUGUAAGGGAUAUUUCUCUUCCUUCUAGAGUUAAUAAAAAUUUCCUUGAGCCCCUAAGGAAAGAGGGGAUUGUCUUUGAGCUAUAAAUCAGGCUCUCUUCAUAUCUGAGUAAGCUUCUGUGUUAGAUCAGAGUCUCAUGUUCUUGUAGUUAAGAAUCUUGUUCUUCAUCCGAGCUUGACUUAAAUUAACCUGGAUGUUAAUUUCCCUCUGACUCGGUGCCUUCUGGGCCUACAUUUCAGUAGUCAGCAGCACCUCCUUGCUUACAGAUCUGUGUGUGCAUCGACUGCACCUCGACUACAACUUGAGAUCAAGCUGAAGAGACUGACAUGCAGUGUCUCCAUUCCUGGAAGGGAGCUGCAACAUUCCGUGUGACGCCUGCCUUGGACUGAGCUGCAGAUCCAGACCUUGUGUCAUGGUGGCCGAUGGGCAGCAGCUUCUUUGUUCAGGCACAGGCAGUGUUAAUCCAGUUGGGAUCCAGAUUUGAGCAAGCAACCAGGCAGAAGCCAGAAACCAUUCUUUGUUGCUAUUAGUUAUUAUCUCAUGUUAGCCAAAGUUUGCAUCCAAUUGAAACUUUUGACUGUGCAGAAAUCUGGAUAUGGGUUUUAAGCACGUGGCUCAUUUCUUGAUGUUACACUUGCAAGGACAGGAAGCAUUACAUUUAUUGCAUUUUAAGGAUAACAUUGUACUACAGCAGCAAUCUCCAUAAUGAGCACUGUAAAGCCGCUCCUUAUUUUGUUUUUCUGAGGAACUGAUUAAACAGACAUAGUAGAAAUUCCAGUACAGUUUUUCAAGGAAAGAAAAUUCCUUAUUAAAUAUGCUUCUGUGAACAAAAUGUUAAAUGUUUCUGGUAUUGCCAUAA
This is a long non-coding RNA of Cyanistes caeruleus (blue tit), 1523 nucleotides long. RefSeq lists it as uncharacterized. Lineage: Eukaryota; Metazoa; Chordata; Aves; Passeriformes; Paridae. The record is from RefSeq and is a predicted model, not a curated record.